RNAcentral lists this ribosomal RNA (169 nucleotides) under uncultured bacterium. RNAcentral's name for it is "partial 16S ribosomal RNA". It matches the Rfam family "Bacterial small subunit ribosomal RNA", at positions 338 to 524 of the family's 1533-position model. The record is from RNAcentral.
CCUACGGGAGGCAGCAGUGGGGAAUCUUGGACAAUGGGCGAAAGCCUGAUCCAGCCAUGCCGCGUGGAUGAUGAAGGCCCUAGGGUUGUAAAAUCCUUUCGUUGGGGACGAUAAUGACGGUACCCAAAGAAGAAGCUCCGGCUAACUUCGUGCCAGCAGCCGCGGUAAU